UAGGGCAGUAGGGCAGUGGGGCAGUAGGGCAGAGGUUCGAGCGCCCUUUAAACAUAUUGCCCUCCUGCCCUACUGCCU
This 78-nucleotide ribosomal RNA is filed under the name Mesorhizobium sp. RNAcentral describes it as "partial 23S ribosomal RNA". The record is from RNAcentral. Lineage: Bacteria; Pseudomonadati; Pseudomonadota; Alphaproteobacteria; Hyphomicrobiales; Phyllobacteriaceae.